UACGAAGGGGGCGAGCGUUGUUCGGAUUUACUGGGCGUAAAGGGCGCGUAGGCGGCCCUUCAAGUCAGGCGUGAAAGCCCCGGGCUCAACCUGGGAGGUGCGCUUGGGACUGGAGGGCUUGAGUUCGGGAGAGGAGAGUGGAAUUCCCAGUGUAGAGGUGAAAUUCGUAGAUAUUGGGAAGAACACCGGUGGCGAAGGCGGCUCUCUGGACCGAGACUGACGCUGAGGCGCGAAAGCGUGGGGAGCAAACAG
RNAcentral lists this ribosomal RNA (252 nucleotides) under uncultured bacterium. RNAcentral describes it as "partial 16S ribosomal RNA". It matches the Rfam family "Bacterial small subunit ribosomal RNA", at positions 524 to 775 of the family's 1533-position model. The record is from RNAcentral.